RNAcentral lists this ribosomal RNA (253 nucleotides) under uncultured bacterium. RNAcentral's name for it is "partial 16S ribosomal RNA". It matches the Rfam family "Bacterial small subunit ribosomal RNA", at positions 524 to 776 of the family's 1533-position model. The record is from RNAcentral.
UACAGAGGUCCCAAGCGUUGUUCGGAUUUACUGGGCGUAAAGGGUGCGUAGGUGGUGAUGUAAGUUUGGUGUGAAAUCUCUGGGCCCAACCUAGAAACUGCACUGAAUACUACAUUGCUAGAGGAUCGGAAGGGAAACUGGAAUUCUCGGUGUAGCAGUGAAAUGCGUAGAUAUCGAGAGGAACACCCGUGGCGAAGGCGAGUUUCUGGACGACUCCUGACACUGAGGCACGAAAGCUAGGGGAGCAAACAGG